RNAcentral lists this unclassified non-coding RNA (391 nucleotides) under soil metagenome. Its description in RNAcentral is "partial contains 5.8S ribosomal RNA, internal transcribed spacer 2, and large subunit ribosomal RNA". The stretch from base 1 to 122 matches the Rfam family "5.8S ribosomal RNA", at positions 35 to 154 of the family's 154-position model. The record is from RNAcentral.
GAUGAAGAACGUAGCAAAAUGCGAUACUUGGUGUGAAUUGCAGAAUCCCGUGAACCAUCGAGUCUUUGAACGCAAGUUGCGCCCGAAGCCAUUAGGCCGAGGGCACGCCUGCCUGGGCGUCACACGUCGUUGCCCCCCCAUCUACUCCUUCGGGAUUGCGGGGGGCGGAUGAUGGCCUCCCGUGCGCCUCGCCGCGCGGUUGGCAUAAAUGCCAAGUCCUCGGCGACGCACGCCACGACAAUCGGUGGUUGCGAAACCUCGGUUGCCCGUCGUGUGCGGUCGUCGCGCAUCGAGGGCUCGAAAAAAUUGCCGGGUUCCGGCUCGGCUUUCAACGCGACCCCAGGUCAGGCGGGGUUACCCGCUGAAUUUAAGCAUAUCAAUAAGCGGAGGA